RNAcentral lists this transfer RNA (72 nucleotides) under Camelus bactrianus (Bactrian camel). It matches the Rfam family "tRNA". Rfam says of the family: Transfer RNA (tRNA) molecules are approximately 80 nucleotides in length. Their secondary structure includes four short double-helical elements and three loops (D, anti-codon, and T loops). The record is from Rfam by way of RNAcentral. RNAcentral also lists the same sequence under 1 other name. Lineage: Eukaryota; Metazoa; Chordata; Mammalia; Artiodactyla; Camelidae.
GAGAGUAUAGUUCAGUGGUAGAGCACAUGCUUAGCAUGCAUGAGGUCCUGGGUUCAAUCCCCAGCACCUCCA